CCCUUAGAGUUUGAUCCUGGCUCAGAACGAACGCUGGCGGCGUGCUUAACACAUGCAAGUCGAACGUGAAAGGGGGCAACCCUGAGUAAAGUGGCGCACGGGUGAGUAACACAUAGGAACGUACCUACGGGUGGGGAAUAACGACGGGAAACUGUCGCUAAUACCGCAUAACAUCGAGAGAUUAAAGGGGGCGCGCGCAAGCAGCUCUCGCCUGUAGAUCGGCCUAUGUCCCAUUAGCUAGUUGGUGAGGUAAAUGCUUACCAAGGCGACGAUGGGUAGCUGGUCUGAGAGGAUGAUCAGCCACACUGGAACUGAGACACGGUCCAGACUCCUACGGGAGGCAGCAGUGGGGAAUCUUGCACAAUGGGCGAAAGCCUGAUGCAGCAACGCCGCGUGGGUGAAGAAGGUUCUUGGAUUGUAAAGCCCUUUCGGCUAGAAAGAAGGGUUUCUAGGUUAAUACCCUAGAGAUCUGACGGUACUAGAAGAAGAAGCACCGGCUAAUUCCGUGCCAGCAGCCGCGGUAAUACGGAAGGUGCGAGCGUUGUUCGGAUUGAUUGGGCGUAAAGCGCGUGUAGGCGGGUUUGUAAGUCGGAUGUGAAAGCCCUAGGCUUAACCUAGGAACUGCAUCUGAAACUGCGAAUCUUGAAUACUCGAGGGGUUGGUGGAAUUCCAGGUGUAGGAGUGAAAUCCGUAGAUAUCUGGAGGAACACCGGAGGCGAAGGCGGCCAACUGGCGAUGUAUUGACGCUGAGGUGCGAAAGCGUGGGGAGCAAACAGAUUAGAUACCCUGGUAGUCCACGCCGUAAACUAUGGAUACUAGUGUUGGGACAUAACCUCCUGAGUACAAAGCUAACGCAUAAGUAUCCCGCCUGGGGAGUACGUCG
RNAcentral lists this ribosomal RNA (883 nucleotides) under uncultured bacterium. Its description in RNAcentral is "bacterial SSU rRNA". It matches the Rfam family "Bacterial small subunit ribosomal RNA", at positions 1 to 887 of the family's 1533-position model. The record is from RNAcentral.